Molecule: ribosomal RNA, 283 nt
Filed under: uncultured bacterium
Lineage: Bacteria
Description: partial 16S ribosomal RNA
Rfam family: Bacterial small subunit ribosomal RNA
Source: RNAcentral
CUGGCGGCACGCCUAACACAUGCAAGUCGAGCGAGGUAGCAAUACCUAGCGGCAGACGGGUGAGUAACAUGUGGGGAAUCUGCCUUUUUGGUUCGGAACAACACGGGGGAAACCUGUGCUAAUACCGGAUAAGUCCUAAACGGAGAAAGUUUUUAAUGCCAAAAGAUGAGCCCGCACUUGAUUAGCUAGUUGGUAAGGUAAUGGCUUACCAAGGCAACGAUCAAUAGCUGUUCUUAGAGGAAGACCCAGCCACAUUGGGGACUGAGACACGGCCCCAAACUCC